AGUACUAAAUGUGAUUACAGAGAAACUUAAUAGUAUAGUAUCUAAAAAUGGGGUUCUGUGACAUUGACAGUUUCCCCACCACGCCUUAAAAACCUGACCUGAAAUUAUAGAAGACAUUUCUAUUCUUCGUUAUUCUUGGAGAUUCUUUUAUUUCAACCAUUCGGAAAAGGGCUAACUCAUCGCCUCCCAGCUUUCAUCAUGUUCUGCAACAGUGAGCACAGCAAUCCUGCUGUCUGCCUGGGAUGGGUCAUGGAACCCUUCACUGAACCCUCUAAGUCUGCAUUGUUCUUGCCCAGCUCUAGUGGAAGACUUUGUAUCCUUAAAUAUGGGAAAAAUGACAACAUCAGGAAGCAUAUACUCAGAAACUGAGGUCCUUGAAAUAAAGGGGUCUGAGCAAAGGAGGUGGGGGCAACUAAUGAAGAAAACUUAAGGAAAAGUUUUUGGAACCUAUUGGUGUUUUACCUAACUUUUAUCCUUGGGUGAGAAGGACUUCUUUCAUAUGUACAAAAUAUAGACGGAGGAGUAGGACGAUUUUGUGUAGGGGUCAAUUUCUCAUGAGAACAUGACACCUAUGAUGAAGCUUCUAGAGGUCAGUAACUAAUUAUAUUUAUGGGCCAACCCACCUCCAAGUGACCAGUGACUACUGGAGAGGUGGUCUUGGCAGGCCAAGUAACAGAGGCAGGGCUUAGUUUCUGGAUUAAGAAUAAAGUGACUGUAGUAGAGGGAAAAACACAAGAAGCAUGGACUAUGGUGACCAACCUUGAUGUUAGGAAUUCAUGUGCGUACCAGCUCUAUAUCCUUGGCUGGUCAUUGACCACCCUGAAGAUCAGGUCCCUUAUCUGUCAAACUGUGGUCUUCCUGCUGGCCUCAUAGAGUGUCUUGUAAAUCCAUGUAAAAGUGGUCCGUGGAAUGCUGGUAUAAUGUAUCAGCUCAAAAAAACAUUAGCUGGAUUGAAUAGAAAGGUGAUACUCCAGCACACAGACUCAUCCAUGCAGUGCCCUUGCUUAAUGGCCAUGGCUUAAAUGUGCCCUGCAAGGGAGAGGCUGGCACUUUGGGCUGUGGCCCAUUCAGUGUUACAAUGCUACAAUGCUACAUGCAGUUGGAACAAGAGGUCAAAAUUAUCCAGGACAGUUUAAGCAAGACGUUUAAAAUAUAGACCCUUAAUCAUGAUUUAUGUUCUACCCUUUAUCUUCAAACAUGCUUUAAACAAAAUGCGAGUUUGGGAGAAAACAAAAUCAUUAUUUGAAUGAGGCAGCCCUUGGAAUGCCCCUGUUGUUAUUAAUAACAGUGAACACCUACGCUGUGCUGGAAAAUAUACUAG
Molecule: long non-coding RNA, 1321 nt
Filed under: Sus scrofa (pig)
Lineage: Eukaryota; Metazoa; Chordata; Mammalia; Artiodactyla; Suidae
Description: lncRNA (ENSSSCG00015017758.1)
Source: RNAcentral